GGAGAGAUGACCGAGCGGCCGAAGGUGCACGAUUGGAAAUCGUGUGUGCUCAAAAGGUACCGAGGGUUCGAAUCCCUCUCUCUCCG
RNAcentral lists this transfer RNA (86 nucleotides) under Spirochaetaceae bacterium. RNAcentral's name for it is "tRNA-Ser". It matches the Rfam family "tRNA". From Rfam's summary of the family: Transfer RNA (tRNA) molecules are approximately 80 nucleotides in length. Their secondary structure includes four short double-helical elements and three loops (D, anti-codon, and T loops). Lineage: Bacteria; Pseudomonadati; Spirochaetota; Spirochaetia; Spirochaetales; Spirochaetaceae. The record is from RNAcentral.